CGCGAAUGGCUCAUUACAACAGCUAAAAUUUACUCGAUCUUGACACAAUCCUACUUGGAUAACUGUGGUAAUUCUAGAGCUAAUACAUGCAUUAAAGCUCUGACCUUCGGGGAAGAGUGCAUUUAUUAGAACAAAACCAAGCGGCUUCGGCUGUUUUCGGUUGACUCAUAGUAACUGAGCUGAUCGCAUGGUCUUGCACCGGCGACGUGUCGUUCAAGUAUCUGCCGUAUCAACUUUCGAUGGUAGUGUAUCUGACUACCAUGGUGAUCACGCGUAACGGAGAAUAAGGGUUCGACUCCGGAGAGUUCGCCUGAGAAAUCGCGAACACAUCUAAGGAAGGCAGCAGGCGCGAAAAUUACCCACUCUCAGCACGAGGAGGUAGUGACGAAAAAUAACGAGACCGUUCUCUUAUGAGGCCGGUCAUCGGAAUGGGUACAAAUUAAACCCUUUAACGAGUAUCUAUGAGAGGGCAAGUCUGGUGCCAGCAGCCGCGGUAAUUCCAGCU
This 505-nucleotide ribosomal RNA is filed under the name Cervidellus vexilliger. RNAcentral describes it as "SSU rRNA". It matches the Rfam family "Eukaryotic small subunit ribosomal RNA", at positions 88 to 590 of the family's 1831-position model. The record is from RNAcentral. Lineage: Eukaryota; Metazoa; Nematoda; Chromadorea; Rhabditida; Cephalobidae.